GAUGAACGCUGGCGGCGUGCCUAAUACAUGCAAGUCGAGCGAACAGACGAGGAGCUUGCUCCUCUGACGUUAGCGGCGGACGGGUGAGUAACACGUGGAUAACCUACCUAUAAGACUGGGAUAACUUCGGGAAACCGGAGCUAAUACCGGAUAAUAUAUUGAACCGCAUGGUUCAAUAGUGAAAGACGGUUUUGCUGUCACUUAUAGAUGGAUCCGCGCCGCAUUAGCUAGUUGGUAAGGUAACGGCUUACCAAGGCGACGAUGCGUAGCCGACCUGAAGGGGGCGUCCGACACCCUGGAACUGAGACACCGUCCAGACUCCUACGGGAGGCAGCAGUAGGGACUCUUCCGCAAUGGGCGAGAGCCUGACGGAGCAACGCCGCGUGAGUGAUGAAGGUCUUCGGAUCGUAAAACUCUGUUAUUAGGGAAGAACAAAUGUGUAAGUAACUAUGCACGUCUUGACGGUACCUAAUCAGAAAGCCACGGCUAACUACGUG
Molecule: ribosomal RNA, 497 nt
Filed under: uncultured bacterium
Lineage: Bacteria
Description: partial 16S ribosomal RNA
Rfam family: Bacterial small subunit ribosomal RNA
Source: RNAcentral